This 394-nucleotide ribosomal RNA is filed under the name uncultured bacterium. Its description in RNAcentral is "partial 16S ribosomal RNA". It matches the Rfam family "Bacterial small subunit ribosomal RNA", at positions 523 to 918 of the family's 1533-position model. The record is from RNAcentral.
AUACGGAGGAUGCGAGCGUUGUCCGGAAUUACUGGGCGUAAAGGGCGCGUAGGCGGCGCUUCAAGUCGUCUGUCAAAUGGAAGGGCUUAACCUUUUUUCGCAGACGAAACUGGAGAGCUUGAGAAGCAGAGAGGCAAACAGAAUUCCUGGUGAAGCGGUGAAAUGCGUAGAUAUCAGGAAGAAUACCAGUGGCGAAGGCGGUUUGCUGGCUGCAUACUGACGCUGAAGCGCGAAAGCCAGGGGAGCGAACGGGAUUAGAUACCCCGGUAGUCCUGGCAGUAAACGAUGUAUGCUGGGUGUGAGACUAGCGAUAGUUUCGUGCCGAAGUUAACGCGAUAAGCAUACCGCCUGGGGAGUACGGUCGCAAGAUUGAAACUCAAAUGAAUUGACGGGG